This is a non-coding RNA of Phrynosoma platyrhinos (Desert horned lizard), 72 nucleotides long. NCBI's taxonomy places the organism in Eukaryota, Metazoa, Chordata, Lepidosauria, Squamata, Phrynosomatidae. The record is from the annotation of a GenBank genome assembly.
GCCAGUGUAGUGCAGUGGUUUGAACAUUGGACCGUGACUCUGGAGACCAGGGUUUGAAUCUCCGCUCAGCCA